AAGUCGUAACAAGGUUUCCGUAGGUGAACCUGCGGAAGGAUCAUUACAGAAUAAACCUGAUGGAUUGCUGCUGGCUUUCUUGGAAGCAAUGUGCACAUCUGUCAUCUUUAUAUUUCCACCUGUGCACCCUAUGUAGACUUGGAUGUUUUUUUCCAUAAGCGCCCAUUCAUUUGAGUGCUUUUUGGGCUUUGAAGAUUGCUGUUUCUAUGGCUUUCCUCACAUUUCCAAGUCUAUGUUUAACAUUUUUAAACUCCAAAGUAUAUAUCAGAAGGAAACUCUGGCUUUUAUAGCCAAUAAAACAUAUACAACUUUCAGCAACGGAUCUCUUGGCUCUC
This 335-nucleotide unclassified non-coding RNA is filed under the name Conobolbitina striipes. RNAcentral describes it as "Conocybe striipes partial internal transcribed spacer region". The stretch from base 1 to 46 matches the Rfam family "Eukaryotic small subunit ribosomal RNA", at positions 1786 to 1831 of the family's 1831-position model. The record is from RNAcentral. RNAcentral also lists the same sequence under 1 other name. Lineage: Eukaryota; Fungi; Basidiomycota; Agaricomycetes; Agaricales; Bolbitiaceae.